RNAcentral lists this long non-coding RNA (4593 nucleotides) under Triticum aestivum (bread wheat). RNAcentral describes it as "long non-coding RNA (TAES_LNC016406)". The record is from RNAcentral. Lineage: Eukaryota; Viridiplantae; Streptophyta; Magnoliopsida; Poales; Poaceae.
CGGACGUUGUGUCAUUCUCAUCGUAAGGCGUGGCUGUUUUGUAUGGUGCCUUAUGGGCCAAAGCAUACGAGACGAAAAGGUUGGCCAAUGGAGCAUUAUGGUGAGAUGCCUGCAACCAAAGCAACAUGAUUAAGAUUUCAUCACAAGGAUUGGCAACAUGUAUGACAAGAAAAAGCUUAUGAAGAACAAAUCGAUAUGGGAAGUAAGAUAUACCCAACGUUCACCGAACUCCAUAAUGUUCAAGUUGCCUUGAUGAUGUGGUGGAUCCAGCAUUGCGGCUCGUCGAUUUCUAUAAUCUUUGUUUUUCGCCCUAUACUCUUUGGAACACCAAUAGUCCACGAUCCGCUCCCAACACUCCCCCUUGGAUUCAUGUUUAGGGUCGCCAGUAUUGUAUCGAGACUUUGCAUUAUGCAAGCUUGGAAUAUUGCCCGCAUAGCAUGAUGUCGUGAAGUUUGUAAUAUCCUCCGCCAAGAAUGCCUCGGCUAUGGAGGCUUCAAUUCUACAUUUAUUUCUACAUUUAGCUCGAAGAGUCUUAUGCAUUCUCUCAAGUCCAUAGCACCAACAAUUCUGCAUAGGGCCACCCAUUCUUGCCUUGGAAGGGAGGUGUAAAAUCAUAUGUUCCAUCGGGUUAAAGAAUCCUGGUGGAAAGAUCUUCUCUAGCUUGCAGAGCAACUCGGGGGCCCGUUCUUCCAUCUCAUCUAUCACAGUAGGAGAUACUUCUUUAGCACAAAGAACACGGAAGAAAUAGGUAAGCUCUGCCAAUACUUCCCAAUCAUCCUCAAGGAUAUAGCCUCGAAUCAUCACCGACAUUAACCACUCAAGCCAUAUGUGCCAAUCAUGACUCUUCAUCCCGUUGAACUUCAAUUUAUCAAGUUUCACUGCCCUCAUAAGGUUCGUUGCAAACCCAUCAGGGGACAACAAAGUUUUGAACCACAUGAGUAUCUCCUUUUGUUCCCUAGUAAGAACAAACCUCGCCUUUGGCGUCCUCCAGUUUUUCUUUCCCUCGGGUUGUUGCAAGUUUUGUUCGGGUCUAUCACAUAGCUUCAUUACAUCAAGUCUAGACUUAGUAUUAUACUUCGUCUUCUCAGCAAUGUUGAACAACGUGCCAAAAAUGGCCUCGGCGAUAUUCUUUUCAGUGUGCAUUACAUCAAUAUUAUGUGGAAACUCGAGUUGGUGGAAGUAGGGGAGAUCCCAUAAGCAUGGCUUGUGAGUCCACGCGUGUUCUUCGUUAUAUCCCAAGAAAUACCCUGGACGUUUGGGAUCAGGCUGGAGAGCAUUUAUUUGAUCACGAAUUUGUUCACCCGUCAUCUCAGGUGGUGCCGAGUGUUCAACUACUUCACCUUUCAUGAAGUUCUUCUUGUCUUGUCUGAAUGGAUGGUCACGACGCAAAUGUUGUCUAUGAAAAUCGAAGCAAGAAUACUUGCGACCAUGCUGCAACCAACGGCACUGCAUGCUUGCCUUGCACCUUGGGCAUGGGAACCUCCCAUGCACAUACCACCCCAUGAAAAGUGAAUGUGCCGGUAAGUCAUGAAGUGAGUACUGGUACCAAACAUGCAUUGUGAAGUUCUUUUUGAUAGCAGCGUCGUAUGUCCGUAUCCCAUUCACCCAAGCUUCUUUCAACUCAUCUAUCAGUGGUUGCAUGUACACACUUAUAUUCUUCCCCGGAUACUUGGGCCCUGGAAUUAUCAACGACAGGAACAUGUGCUUGCGUUGCAUUAGGGCGCCAGGGGGGGAGGUUGAGGGCAACAACAAACACGGGCCAACAACUGUAUGUCUUUGACACCAUACCAAACGGAUUGAACCCAUCGAUUCCGAUGGCAACUCGUGCAUUCUUUGCCUCUUUUACUUUCUCAUGAUGUAUUCGAUCGAAACUCUUCCAUGCUUGGGCACAAGACAGAUGUAUCAACAUCGGUCUCCCAUGAUCAUCUUUGUUGCGUCUUAUCCCAUAUUUGUGCCAUGUCAUCUGUUUGGCUGUAUCUUCGUUCAAUAAAGACGUUGAAUUCUUGGCAAGAUUGGAAAAUAUCAAAGAACAUUUGCGGGGACUUUGCUCUGUUUCUUCGUACCAUCACUGAGGUCUCUCUCGACAUACCUAGAGGCUUUGCACUUGGCGCAAUAAUUGUCAUCGGCAUACUCUUUCGUAAAUAAGACACAUCCAUUUGGACAAGCAUGUAUCUGCUCAUAGGGCAUCUUAAGUGCACGAAGGAUUUUCUUCGCAUAAUACCAGCUUUUAGCCAGUUUCUGACCUUCGGGGAGAGAGCGACCCCAAGAUGUCACCAUCGAAUUAAAGAAAUCUUUGCUCAUGUUGAACUGGGUCUUUAUAGCCAUUGCUUGUGCAAUGGCAUCCAGCUAACAUUGGUUUGUGUGGUCGUGAAGAGGUUGUUCUGAGGAAUUCAACAUUUCUAAGAAGGCCCUCGCAGACUCCUCUGGUUCUUCCUCUGAUCCCUCUUCACGUGCAUCGUUGAAGUCAGCUACAAUGUCAACGAUCUCGGUACCAUUGUUGUCGGUUCGCCGACGCACCACCUCCUCUCUGCUACGUUCAGGCUCGCCAUGAAGGGUCCACCGGGUAUACCCACGCUUAAACCCAUGCUUCUGCAGGUGCCUACACAUCGUCUUCUUCGCCUGUUCUCUGUCGUUGUCACACUUCAAGCAGGGGCACCAACUUUUUCUUUGGCCUCUAGCAAAUGUUGCCUCUACAAAUUCAUUGGUCUUCGUCACCCAUUCAGUGGUCAUGCCAGCCUGACUAGGGUGGCCAGUGUACAUCCACUCACGAUCAUCCAUAUUGGUACUUGCAUAUGACAGUAGGGGCACCAAAUUCAUAUUCAUCAAGAUAUGUAUAUUGUAAUUAAGACUAGAUACACAACUAAUUACCAUUGUUAUAUUAUUUACGCCAUGGCUUUAAUUUUUUACCAUACAAAAGGGAAACAUGCAUUCAUGGAUUGAAUCCUAUCGCUAAUAGGUAAAGAUGGUUCCUAAUCCCACUCGAGUACGUGUAGAUUGGGUUCGUUUCCCGUGCUCUACUCCGGUCCGAGGCAAAAUUUUGGCAGCACCUCCCCGCUGUUCUCCAAAUACACGUCUCGACAACAAGCCGAGAGAAUGUGCACCCGGAGAACAACAAGGUGGCGCAGAUGAAAUUUUGCCGAGGGCCGAAGUAGAGCAUGGAAAACGAAACCCAAUCUACGCGUACUCGGGCUGUCCAUGGAUAACGUGGACAAUUCGAAAGGACGACGGUUAUAAAUAUGCAAAGACAUGCAUAUUUAUAGAUGCCACCCUUUCGAACGGGAUGCGCCUAGGCUACGAGACUUGACAUGAAAAUAAAAUCUAGUAGCAUCAGCAUGACGACCGGAACAAAUCAAAUAGGGGAGGGGGAGGAGAUGACAGUCAAGCUCACCCCUAGACCGUAGAGGCGGUAGUCGAAUGACGAUGGCAAUGGCAACGGGACGGAUAGUGCUCCUGGAGGUGAAGAGAAAAUCCCUGCACAUGAAAAGCACCGGCACAACCAACAUAAGCACUCGCAGAACAAUCUAAUAAAAACAUCGUCAACAUCAUCUUGCAGUUCAACAAAACCUAACCUAAAGAAAAUAAGCAAGAAACUGAGCAUUUAAUUUCCUAACGAGCAUCAAUCAAAAAUGAAAUUUUGCCUUGUAGAACAACCAUAUUAUCCAAACUUGCUUUAUGGAGUAUACAUGCUAGAUCACCAACAUCAUGCUGCCUUGCAAUUCUUCCUCUUCUGUUUAAUUCCUUGACCUGUUUCUGGGGCAUCCUGAAAACGGCUGCCCACUGUGUUAGAUUGUCAAAGUUCGUGUGCACAAUUUGUUCACUUUACUCGCAUUUUCCACAUGUUUUAAUGAUUAACGUUGUUCGGUGACGGGAGCUGCCAUUAUGCCGUGCGAUAUGAUGUCUCAUACUGAUCCUUCCUCCACUAUCUGCCAUAUCUGUAGGCAUGGGAAUGAGUUCGCACAGACAGUCGGAUUCUUUCUUACUACUCACCCAUCUCAGGUACUCCUCCCUGUUCUGAAGCAAAUUCUUCACCUUUGAAGUACUGAAUGAGUGCAUACCAUGUUUUGAGUUUGUGACAGUAUGUUGUGUUGGGACUUGUUCGGUAACAGGAAAAGAUUCAGAUGAACUAUUGUAUUAACCAUUAAAAUUAUUAGAUCAAUGGCUCACAUGGUUUUUUAAUCUAGUUUGGGAAAAUUAAAUAGAAUGCCAGAAUAGGAGCGGUGCUCACCGUGGCGUGGGGCAGAGGGGGUUGAGGACAGAGGGGGAGAUGGUGCCCGGCUUCAGUGGUGACCAGCGGCUGCGGAUGCGUAGACGGGAGCCGGCGGCGGUGCUGCCAACUGCAGCCGUGGUGCUAGGGCAGGGGAGGACUGCCCGGUGGCGGUCGCGCCAUUGGAGGAGGACUGGUGGGGGGCGCAGUGGACAAGGGCCCCGACGGCGGCGGGGUGGAGGCAGGGCCACCUGCGGCAGUGCGGUGGAGGCGGGGACCAGCUGCGGCGGCGCGGUGGAGGGAGGGACGGGCGGCGGAGCCGGGGACGGGUGGUGGCGGCAGAUAACCUAGCGGGGGUCGAGACAGUGAUGCGGUCGGGUGUUGGGGGG